GAUGAACGCUAGCUACAGGCUUAACACAUGCAAGUCGAGGGGAAACGAUGAGAGAGCUUGCUCUCUUAGGCGUCGACCGGCGCACGGGUGAGUAACGCGUAUCCAACCUACCCAUUACAGGGGGAUAACCUUGCGAAAGUAAGACUAAUACCCCAUGGCAUUUUAUGGUGGCAUCAUUAUAGGAUUAAAGAUUUAUGGGUAAUGGAGGGGGAUGCGUCUGAUUAGCUUGUUGGCGGGGUAACGGCCCACCAAGGCAACGAUCAGUAGGGGUUCUGAGAGGAAGGUCCCCCACAUUGGAACUGAGACACGGUCCAAACUCCUACGGGAGGCAGCAGUGAGGAAUAUUGGUCAAUGGGCGAGAGCUUGAACCAGCCAAGUAGCGUGCAGGAUGACGGCCCUAUGGGUUGUAAACUGCUUUUAUAGGGGAAUAAAGUGAGCUACGUGUAGUUUAUUGCAUGUACCCUAUGAAUAAGGACCGGCUAAUUCCGUG
This 490-nucleotide ribosomal RNA is filed under the name uncultured bacterium. RNAcentral describes it as "partial 16S ribosomal RNA". It matches the Rfam family "Bacterial small subunit ribosomal RNA", at positions 28 to 507 of the family's 1533-position model. The record is from RNAcentral.